AUUUUUAUUCCUUUUAUAUUAUUAAUUUGUGAAAGACUGUUGGAAACAGACAUGUUGUGAAUUGAUCUAGAAGUUAGAAUGGUUCAUCAGCCUUAGUUGAAAUUAAGAAUUGAGGUUUUAAGUUUUAUUAAUAUUGACAAUUUGUGAAAGGUAGGAAAACAUCUGAACUUAUGUUUUCUAAGUAUCAGUUGAUUGUUGACCAACUCACUCACAUAAUUUACUGCAUCCUAUAGAUUCAUGUUAUUUGCAAUAUGAAUUCAUUAUCACCUAUGGUUAUGGACAGAAGCAUUUAGUUGCAAUGUGAAUUCAACCUCAUCUAAGGUUUUGGACAGAAGCUUAUCUCUCUGAGACUAUGCAUUUUUACAUGGUUG
RNAcentral lists this unclassified non-coding RNA (371 nucleotides) under Hevea brasiliensis (rubber tree). The record is from RNAcentral. Lineage: Eukaryota; Viridiplantae; Streptophyta; Magnoliopsida; Malpighiales; Euphorbiaceae.